This 440-nucleotide ribosomal RNA is filed under the name uncultured bacterium. Its description in RNAcentral is "partial 16S ribosomal RNA". It matches the Rfam family "Bacterial small subunit ribosomal RNA", at positions 338 to 795 of the family's 1533-position model. The record is from RNAcentral.
CCUACGGGAGGCUGCAGUGGGGGAUAUUGCACAAUGGGGGGAACCCUGAUGCAGCGACGCCGCGUGGGUGAAGAAGCGCCUCGGCGCGUAAAGCCCUGUCAGCAGGGAAGAAAAUGACGGUAACUGACGAUGAAGCCCCGGCUAACGACGUGCCAGCAGCCGCGGUAAUACGUCGGGGGCAAGCUUUCUCCGGAGUUACUGGGUGUAAAGGGGGCGCAGACGGCGAUGCAAGUCAGGGGUGAAAGCCCGGGGCUCAACCCCGGGACUUCUCUUGAAACUGGGUGGCUGGAGUGCAGGAGGGGCAGGCGGAAUUCCAUGUGUAGCGGUGAAAUGCGUAGAUAUCAGGAGGAACACCGGUGGCGAAGGCGGCCUUCUGGUCUGCAACUGACGUUGAGGUCCGAAAGCGUGGGGAGCAAACAGGAUUAGAUACCCUUGUAGUA